This is a non-coding RNA of Aedes aegypti (yellow fever mosquito), 119 nucleotides long. NCBI's taxonomy places the organism in Eukaryota, Metazoa, Arthropoda, Insecta, Diptera, Culicidae. The record is from Rfam.
UGCCCAGCAACUCCUAUCCCUACCUCCUCGCGGUACUGGCCGGGGUACGAGUAACCUUAGGAAAGAUCGGGUAACCAACCCCCGGUGGGAACUUUGGUCGUAUGCUGACAAGGAAAUGG